Molecule: ribosomal RNA, 585 nt
Filed under: uncultured bacterium
Lineage: Bacteria
Description: partial 16S ribosomal RNA
Rfam family: Bacterial small subunit ribosomal RNA
Source: RNAcentral
UGGGGAAUUUUGGACAAUGGGCGCAAGCCUGAUCCAGCCAUGCCGCGUGCGGGAAGAAGGCCUUCGGGUUGUAAACCGCUUUUGUCAGGGAAGAAAUCUUCUGAGUUAAUACCUCGGGAGGAUGACGGUACCUGAAGAAUAAGCACCGGCUAACUACGUGCCAGCAGCCGCGGUAAUACGUAGGGUGCAAGCGUUAAUCGGAAUUACUGGGCGUAAAGCGUGCGCAGGCGGUUUUGUAAGACAGAGGUGAAAUCCCCGGGCUCAACCUGGGAACUGCCUUUGUGACUGCAAGGCUUGAGUGCGGCAGAGGGGGGAUGGAAUUCCGCGUGUAGCAGUGAAAUGCGUAGAUAUGCGGAGGAACACCGAUGGCGAAGGCAAUCCCCUGGGCCUGCACUGACGCUCAUGCACGAAAGCGUGGGGAGCAAACAGGAUUAGAUACCCUGGUAGUCCACGCCCUAAACGAUGUCAACUGGUUGUUGGGAAGGUUCCUUCUCAGUAACGUAGCUAACGCGUGAAGUUGACCGCCUGGGGAGUACGGCCGCAAGGUUGAAACUCAAAUGAAUUGACGGGGUCAUAGCUGUUUCC